This 500-nucleotide ribosomal RNA is filed under the name uncultured bacterium. Its description in RNAcentral is "partial 16S ribosomal RNA". It matches the Rfam family "Bacterial small subunit ribosomal RNA", at positions 30 to 523 of the family's 1533-position model. The record is from RNAcentral.
AUUGAACGCUGGCGGCAUGCUUUACACAUGCAAGUCGAACGGUAACAGGGAGCUUGCUCCGCUGACGAGUGGCGAACGGGUGAGUAAUAUAUCGGAACGUACCCAAGAGUGGGGGAUAACGUAGCGAAAGUUACGCUAAUACCGCAUACGAUCUAAGGAUGAAAGCAGGGGAUCUUCGGACCUUGUGCUCCUGGAGCGGCCGAUAUCUGAUUAGCUAGUUGGUGAGGUAAAGGCGCACCAAGGCGACGAUCAGUAGCUGGUCUGAGAGGACGACCAGCCACACUGGAACUGAGACACGGUCCAGACUCCUACGGGAGGCAGCAGUGGGGAAUUUUGGACAAUGGGCGCAAGCCUGAUCCAGCAAUGCCGCGUGAGUGAAGAAGGCCUUCGGGUUGUAAAGCUCUUUUGUCAGGGAUGAAACGGGAGUGGCUAAUAUCCAUUCCUAAUGACGGUACCUGAAGAAUAAGCACCGGCUAACUACGUGCCAGCAGCCGCCGUAA